Long non-coding RNA from Etheostoma spectabile (orangethroat darter), 2014 nucleotides. RefSeq lists it as uncharacterized. Lineage: Eukaryota; Metazoa; Chordata; Actinopteri; Perciformes; Percidae. The transcript is spliced from 2 exons. The record is from RefSeq and is a predicted model, not a curated record.
GUAAGAGUUUUUGGUUUACUCUAGUUUACUCUACUGUGUCAUGACAGUGUCAUGUGAGGGUCAUGUGUUCAUGACAGUCUCAUGUGUUCAUGACAGUCUCAUGUGUUCAUGACAGUGUCAUGUCAUUCUUAUGUAGAAAACUUCAAGUGUUACCAAGUUUUUUAAAGGCACAGCCUCCAAUUCAAAAGUGUAGCCCCAUCAAAAGAACAGAUCUCAGUCUCAAACUGAUUGGCAUGUCUUUCAAUAGGCAGACUAACAAAAGACAAUGGCUAAAUUAUAGUAAAACUAUUUUUUGUAGAUCACUGAGUACAUCCACGGGCGUGUCGGGUAUGAUCGGAGGAGUCUACAUCCACGAUGUUCUCUACAUGUUAAAUUGAGACAGCUAGCUAGACUAUCUGUCCAAUCUGAGUUUUCUCUCACGGCUAAAGCAACUUUUAAAUGUACACAUUACGGAGUUUAGCGCCUCCCAUGAUGAUUGUGAUUGGUUGCCCAUGCUGUGUGGAUUAUCCCAACCCUCCUUUGCAGUGCUGUGGAGGAGGGUCUGGCAAAGCGACCUACGAUCGACGUAUCAAGGUUAUGUGUUUACGCCUGUGUAAACAUCAUAUUCUGUUUCAAGAAACCUAGGAAAAAUUAAAAUCUUCACUCCAAAGUGAUAGUUAAAUUCUGACACCAGUAAUAGAAAAGAACUUUUAAUGUCCCGUCUUCCAUUGAUGCUGAUCAGCUGACAAAGCAAUCGUCCUCACUUCCGUCUGUACAGAACUGCAGUCGCGAGAACUCAAAGACACACCUGGAUCUACACAGUGUGCUGAAUAGUGUGGACACCAACAAAACGGAGACAAAUUCCGGCCUUCAUUUGUACAGCAAGCAGAAAGAGAUUAAAAAAAACAGUGGAAACAAGUAGAGAACAAUAUAAACUCAAAAUCCCGAUGGGCCCUCACUACCAGAAACCAAAAAGGAUCCAACACAUUCUCACUCCCAUCUCGUAAAAUAUGGACGCUUGGUCAGAUGUCUUUGUCAUUUUUAUUGACACUAAAAGUCUCCUUUAGCGUCAUAUAACACGCUCUACCUAAACACAACUGGUCAGGACUAUUGGCGUCCCUUUUGACGCUCUUGGUAGGGACUAUUGGGGUCCUUUUUAACACACUGGGACGGGACUAUUGGCGUCCCUUUUGACGCGCUUGGUCGGAACUAUUGGCGUCCCUUUUGACGUGCUUGGUCGGGACCAUUGGGGUCCUUUUGGACGCGUUUGGUCGGGAUUAUUGGCGCCCCUUUUGACGUGCUUGGUCGGGACUAUUAGCGUCCUUUUUAACACACUGGGACGGGACUAUUGGCGUCCCUUUUGACGCGCUUGGUCUGAACUAUUGGCGUCCCUUUUGACGUGCUUGGUCGGGACUAUUGGCGUCCCAUUUGACGCUCUUGGUCGGGACUAUUAGCGUCCUAUUUAACACACUCGGACGGGACAAUUGGCGUCCUUUUUGAUGCUGUUAAGGAAAGUUCGUGGGUGGGCUUUUGGCUUUCGGUGACACGCGGCAAUAACGGGACAAUUAAGGACACACGCGGGACAUGAACCCCGCUCUCUUGGGUGAAAGUCCUGUGUCUGUGUCCCUUUUGAUGCUGGAAGGGAAAGGUUGUGGGUGGGCUUAUAGUUCCGUGACUUGCGGGAACGGGACAGUUGGGUUUAGGAAAAGGUCAUGGGUGGGCUUACGGUUCCCUGACACGCGGCAAUAACAGGACGGUUAAGAAAACACGCGGGACAUGAACGCCGCUCUCCUGGGUGAAAGUCCUGGGUCUGUGUCAGAAACCUGGAUCUUUCCAGAAUUAACAGGUUGUGUCUACAUAGAGACAAAGAACUCGGUUUCUCAUGUUUUGUGUGGCCAUCAUGUUCUACAUAUGUUCAAAAGCAGUAUAAUUAUCAAAACUGGGAUAAUAAUGCACGUGUAAACAGUCACCACUCAUUCAACACAUGACAAUGUAAUGAGAGUGAAGAUGUUUCACAUACAAAGCCAACAAAGCC